UCUGGAGUUUAGCAGCAACAGGUAUCUUUUCUUCUAUAGUUAUUUAGGGCUAAGACUUUUGAUUUGGAGCUAAAGGAUUCAACCAAUUUGGGGAUGCGACUGUUGAAUUUAGGUGAUUUUCAGCAUGCAGAUUUUCAUCUCAUGAACAUACGCAGUGGAAGAGUAAGAUUAAAGCUAUUUUAAUCCUAAACAUGCCUGGA
Molecule: long non-coding RNA, 200 nt
Filed under: Elaeis guineensis (African oil palm)
Lineage: Eukaryota; Viridiplantae; Streptophyta; Magnoliopsida; Arecales; Arecaceae
Description: long non-coding RNA (EGUI_LNC045285)
Source: RNAcentral